GGCUUCGUAGCUGAGCUGGUAGAGCGCUUUUCGCAUUUGAGCAUGGUGUUCAUGUCGCUAAUUCGAAUCCAGCCGAAGCCC
Molecule: non-coding RNA, 81 nt
Organism: Paragonimus heterotremus
Lineage: Eukaryota; Metazoa; Platyhelminthes; Trematoda; Plagiorchiida; Troglotrematidae
Source: the annotation of a GenBank genome assembly